RNAcentral lists this ribosomal RNA (401 nucleotides) under uncultured bacterium. Its description in RNAcentral is "bacterial SSU rRNA". It matches the Rfam family "Bacterial small subunit ribosomal RNA", at positions 355 to 774 of the family's 1533-position model. The record is from RNAcentral.
UGGGGGAUAUUGCACAAUGGGCGAAAGCCUGAUGCAGCGACGCCGCGUGAGGGAAGACGGUCUUCGGAUUGUAAACCUCUGUCUUUGGGGAAGAAAAUGACGGUACCCAAAGAGGAAGCUCCGGCUAACUACGUGCCAGCAGCCGCGGUAAUACGUAGGGAGCAAGCGUUGUCCGGAAUUACUGGGUGUAAAGGGAGCGUAGGCGGGAUGGCAAGUAGAAUGUUAAAUCCAUCGGCUCAACCGGUGGCUGCGUUCUAAACUGCCGUUCUUGAGUGAAGUAGAGGCAGGCGGAAUUCCUAGUGUAGCGGUGAAAUGCGUAGAUAUUAGGAGGAACACCAGUGGCGAAGGCGGCCUGCUGGGCUUUAACUGACGCUGAGGCUCGAAAGCGUGGGGAGCAAACA